Molecule: ribosomal RNA, 2427 nt
Filed under: anaerobic digester metagenome
Description: bacterial LSU rRNA
Rfam family: Bacterial large subunit ribosomal RNA
Source: RNAcentral
AUUAAGAGCAUAGGGCGAAUGCCUUGGCACCAAGAGCCGAUGAAGGACGGGAUAAGCACCGAUAUGCUUCGGGGAGUCGCAAAUAGACUAAGAUCCGGAGAUUUCCGAAUGGGGGAACCCGCUUAAGAAGACCUUAAGCAUCAUACACUGAAUCCAUAGGUGUAUGAAGGAAGACCAGAUCAUACACUGAAUCCAUAGGUGUAUGAAGGAAGACCAGGGGAACUGAAACAUCUAAGUACCCUGAGGAAGAGAAAGAAAAAUUCGAUUUCCUAAGUAGCGGCGAGCGAACGGGAAAGAGCCCAAACCAGAUUUAUCUGGGGUUAAGGACAGAACAAAGGAUAUAUGGUUAGUAGAGGAAGAAAGCUGGAAAGCUUCACCAAAGAAGGUGAUAGUCCUGUACUCGAAACUAAACAUAUACAGGUUCUGAAUCCAGAGUACCACGGGACACGUGAAAUCCUGUGGGAAGUCGGGAGGCCCACCUCCCAAGGCUAAAUACUCCUUGGUGACCGAUAGUGAAGUAGUACCGUGAGGGAAAGGUGAAAAGAACCCCGGGAGGGGAGUGAAAUAGAACCUGAAACCCNNNNNNNNNNNNNNNAGUACCGUGAGGGAAAGGUGAAAAGAACCCCGGGAGGGGAGUGAAAUAGAACCUGAAACCCUAUGCUUACAAGCAGUGGGAGCACAAUAUUAGUGUGACCGCGUACUUUUUGUAGAACGGGCCAGCGAGUUAUGGUAGUCAGCGAGGUUAAGUGAUUAAGUCACGAAGCCGUAGGGAAACCGAGUCUUAAUAGGGCGAAUGAGUUGGCUGCCAUAGACCCGAAACCGUGUGAGCUAUCCAUGGGCAGAGUGAAGUUGAAGUAAAAUUCAAUGGAGGCUCGAACCCGUUAGCGUUUAAAAGCUAUGGGAUGACCUGUGGAUAGGGGUGAAAAGCCAAACGAACACGGUGAUAGCUGGUUCUCCUCGAAAUAGCUUUAGGGCUAGCCUCGAGGAAGUGAUAUGGAGGUAGAGCACUGACUGGUCUAGGGGCACAUAGUGUUACCAAAACCUAUCAAACUCCGAAUACCAUAAUCAUGAUCCUCGGGAGUCAGACAUAGUGGGAUAAGCUUCUAUGUCGAAAGGGAAAGAACCCAGACCACCAGCUAAGGUCCCUAAAUCCAGAUUAAGUGUAAAAGGAUGUGGGGUUUCACAAACAACCAGGAUGUUGGCUUAGAAGCAGCCAUACAUUUAAAGAGUGCGUAAUAGCUCACUGGUCGAGAGACCCUGCGCCGAAGAUUUCCGGGGCUUAAAUUUGGUACCGAAGCUGUGGGAUUUGGAGGUAGGAAGUGAGAAGUUAGAAGUGGGAGAAGAAGAGAAGGUGAUCAUAUGAUAAAAAGCUACGAAGAUUUAGAAGUCUAUCAGCAAUCAUAUGAACUUUAUAUAGAAAUAUAUAAAGCAACAUUAAAUCUUCCUAGAUAUGAAACAUACGAAAUUGUGAAUCAACUGAGAAGAGCAGCCUUAUCAAUAGUGCUAAACAUAGCAGAAGGAUAUGGCAAACAAUCAGUAGCAGAUUUCAAAAGAUUUCUGAGCAUAAGCAUUGGUUCAUGUAAUGAAGUAUGUGUAACUUGGAGAUAAAAUCCAACAUCUGACAUCUGACUUCUUACCUCCAGAUCGGUAGAGGAGCAUUGUGUGUUGGGUAGAAGGUGUACCGAAAGGAGCGCUGGACUACACACAAGAGAGAAUGCUGGCAUGAGUAGCGAAAGGUAAGUGAGAAUCUUACCCGUCGAAAGCCUAAGGUUUCCUGAGGAAGGCUCGUCCACUCAGGGUAAGUCGGGACCUAAGCCCAGGCCGCAAGGCGUAGGCGAUGGACAACAGGUUAUAAUUCCUGUACUAGUUACAAGCGUUUGAGAGAAGGGGUGACGCAGGAGGAUAGGUUGAGCGCGGGGUUGGAAAACCGCGUCCAAGCAAGUAGGCAGAGGAGAUAGGCAAAUCCGUUUCCUUAUUAAUGUCGAGAUGCGAUGGGGAUCGAAAAACAAGUAGAGAAGCAACCGACUCCACACUGCCAAGAAAAGCCUCUAUCGAGCAAGUAACUACCCGUACCGCAAACCGACACAGGUAGGCGAGGAGAGAAUCCUAAGACGAGCGGAAGAACCUUUGUUAAGGAACUCGGCAAAAUGACCCCGUAACUUCGGGAGAAGGGGUGCCAGAGAAGGAUAGAUUGAACAAUCGAAAGAUCAUCUGGCCGCAGUGAAUAGGCCCAAGCGACUGUUUACCAAAAACAUAAGUCUCUGCUAAGUCGAAAGACGAAGUAUAGGGGCUGACACCUGCCCGGUGCUGGAAGGUUAAGGGGAAGGCUUAGCGUAAGCGAAGGCUAGAACUUAAGCCCCAGUAAACGGCGGCCGUAACUAUAACGGUCCUAAGGUAGCGAAAUUCCUUGUCGGGUAAGUUCCGACC